CCUUCGGGUUGUAAACCUCUUUCAGCAGGGAAGAAGCGAAAGUGACGGUACCUGCAGAAGAAGCGCCGGCUAACUACGUGCCAGCAGCCGCGGUAAUACGUAGGGCGCAAGCGUUGUCCGGAAUUAUUGGGCGUAAAGAGCUCGUAGGCGGCUUGUCACGUCGGUUGUGAAAGCCCGGGGCUUAACCCCGGGUCUGCAGUCGAUACGGGCAGGCUAGAGUUCGGUAGGGGAGAUCGGAAUUCCUGGUGUAGCGGUGAAAUGCGCAGAUAUCAGGAGGAACACCGGUGGCGAAGGCGGAUUUCUGGGCCGAUACUGACGCUGAGGAGCGAAAGCGUGGGGAGCGAACAGGAUUAGAUACCCUGGUAGUCCACGCCGUAAACGGUGGGCACUAGGUGUGGGCAACAUUCCACGUUGUCCGUGCCGCAGCUAACGCAUUAAGUGCCCCGCCUGGGGAGUACGGCCGCAAGGCUAAAACUCAAAGGAAUUGACGGGGGCCCGCACAAGCGGCGGAGCAUGUGGCUUAAUUCGACGCAACGCGAAGAACCUUACCAAGGCUUGACAUACACCGGAAAACCCUGGAGACAGGGUCCCCCUUGUGGUCGGUGUACAGGUGGUGCAUGGCUGUC
RNAcentral lists this ribosomal RNA (626 nucleotides) under Streptomyces enissocaesilis. RNAcentral describes it as "bacterial SSU rRNA". It matches the Rfam family "Bacterial small subunit ribosomal RNA", at positions 415 to 1053 of the family's 1533-position model. The record is from RNAcentral. Lineage: Bacteria; Bacillati; Actinomycetota; Actinomycetes; Kitasatosporales; Streptomycetaceae.